AUUGAACGCUGGCGGCAGGCCUAACACAUGCAAGUCGAACGAGUGGCGGACGGGUGAGUAACGUCUGGGAAACUGACUGAGGGAGGGGGAUAACUAUUGGAAACGGUAGCUAAUACCGCAUACCAUCAGAUGUGCACAGAUGGGAUUAGCUUGUUGGUGGGGUAACGGCUCACCAAGGCGAAGAUCCCUAGCUGGGCUGAGAGGCUGACCAGCCACACUGAAACUGAGAGACGGUCCCGACUCCUACGUGAGACCGCAGUGGGUACGUUUGGACAAGGGGCGCAAGCCUGAUGCAGCCAUGCCGCGUGUAUGAAGAAGGCCUUCGGGUUGAAAUGUACUUUCAGCGGGGAGGCGUUACCCGCAGAGGAGGCGCCGGCUAACUCCGUGCCAGCAGCCGCGGUAAUUC
Molecule: ribosomal RNA, 406 nt
Filed under: uncultured bacterium
Lineage: Bacteria
Description: partial 16S ribosomal RNA
Rfam family: Bacterial small subunit ribosomal RNA
Source: RNAcentral